RNAcentral lists this long non-coding RNA (242 nucleotides) under Ananas comosus (pineapple). RNAcentral's name for it is "long non-coding RNA (ACOM_LNC016355)". Lineage: Eukaryota; Viridiplantae; Streptophyta; Magnoliopsida; Poales; Bromeliaceae. The record is from RNAcentral.
GCCACCCGUCCAAAACACGUACGGAAGGUGCAGAAGGGAUAGAAGAGACCGCCGUCCGGCUGCGAAGCGAGGACGUCAGCAUGACGCGACCAACUCGCCCGCCAUGCCGCCGACGAUCCUAACCGAGAUCGGACCCCCAGCAUGACGCGACCAACCCGGCUGCCAUUAAUGAGGAGCGAGAGCAGAGCGAAGUGCGAGAGCAAAGGAAGAGGAUGAUAAAAUAAUAAGGAGCGAGAGUGGAC